AGAACGAACGCUGGCGGCAGGCCUAACACAUGCAAGUCGAACGCCCCGCAAGGGGAGUGGCAGACGGGUGAGUAACGCGUGGGAACCUUCCCUAUGGUUCGGAAUAGCUCAGGGAAACCUGGGGUAAUACCGGAUAAGCCCUUCGGGGGAAAGAUUUAUCGCCAUUGGAUGGGCCCGCGUAGGAUUAGCUAGUUGGUGAGGUAACGGCUCACCAAGGCGACGAUCCUUAGCUGGUCUGAGAGGAUGAUCAGCCACACUGGGACUGAGACACGGCCCAGACUCCUACGGGAGGCAGCAGUGGGGAAUAUUGGACAAUGGGCGAAAGCCUGAUCCAGCCAUGCCGCGUGAGUGACGAAGGCCUUAGGGUUGUAAAGCUUCGUUUUGGCGGGGAAGAUAAGUGACGGUACCCGCGAAGAACUAAGCUCCGGCUUAACUUCGUGCCCAGCAGCCGAC
This 453-nucleotide ribosomal RNA is filed under the name uncultured soil bacterium. Its description in RNAcentral is "bacterial SSU rRNA". It matches the Rfam family "Bacterial small subunit ribosomal RNA", at positions 26 to 518 of the family's 1533-position model. The record is from RNAcentral.